CUGGCGGCGUGCCUAAUACAUGCAAGUCGAACGGUCUUUCUAUGGAAGCUUGCUUCCACUGAGAAGAUAGUGGCGAACGGGUGAGUAACACGUGGGUAACCUGCCCAUAAGAGGGGGAUAACAUCCGGAAACGGGUGCUAAUACCGCAUAGUUUCUUGAUCGCAUGAUCGGGAAAGGAAAGACGGCCUUUGUGCUGUCGCUUAUGGAUGGACCCGCGGCGUAUUAGUUAGUUGGUGAGGUAACGGCUCACCAAGACGAUGAUACGUAGCCGACCUGAGAGGGUGAUCGGCCACAUUGGGACUGAGACACGGCCCAAACUCCUACGGGAGGCAGCAGUAGGGAAUCUUCCGCAAUGGACGAAAGUCUGACGGAGCAACGCCGCGUGAGUGAAGAAAGGGUUUUCGGAUCGUAAAACUCUGUUGUCAGAGAAGAACAAGUUGGAGAGUAACUGCUCCAGCCUUGACGGUAUCUGACCAGAAAGCCACGGCUAACUACGUGCCAGCCGCCGC
This 509-nucleotide ribosomal RNA is filed under the name uncultured bacterium. RNAcentral describes it as "bacterial SSU rRNA". It matches the Rfam family "Bacterial small subunit ribosomal RNA", at positions 36 to 518 of the family's 1533-position model. The record is from RNAcentral.